This 690-nucleotide ribosomal RNA is filed under the name uncultured Bacteroidales bacterium. Its description in RNAcentral is "bacterial SSU rRNA". It matches the Rfam family "Bacterial small subunit ribosomal RNA", at positions 32 to 715 of the family's 1533-position model. The record is from RNAcentral. Lineage: Bacteria; Pseudomonadati; Bacteroidota; Bacteroidia; Bacteroidales.
AACGCUAGCUACAGGCUUAACACAUGCAAGUCGAGGGGCAGCACAAGGCAGCAAUGCUGAGGUGGCGACCGGCGCACGGGUGCGUAACGCGUAUCCAACCUUCCCGUUACUCAUGGAUAGCCUUCCGAAAGGGAGAUUAAUACAUGAUGGUGUUCAAAUCUCGCAUGUCAUUUGAACUAAAGAUUUAUCGGUAACGGAUGGGGAUGCGUUCCAUUAGCUUGUUGGCGGGGUAACGGCCCACCAAGGCUUCGAUGGAUAGGGGUUCUGAGAGGAAGGUCCCCCACACUGGAACUGAGACACGGCCCAGACUCCUACGGGAGGCAGCAGUGAGGAAUAUUGGUCAAUGGCCGGAAGGCUGAACCAGCCAAGUAGCGUGAAGGAUGAAGGUUCUAUGGAUUGUAAACUUCUUUUAUAGGGGAAUAAAACCUCCCACGUGUGGGAGCUUGUAUGUACCCUAUGAAUAAGCAUCGGCUAACUCCGUGCCAGCAGCCGCGGUAAUACGGAGGAUGCGAGCGUUAUCCGGAUUUAUUGGGUUUAAAGGGAGCGUAGACGGGAGAUUAAGUCAGCUGUGAAAGUUUGAGGCCCAACCUUAAAAUUGCAGUUGAUACUGGUUUCCUUGAGUGCGGUUGAGGUGUGUGGAAUUCGUGGUGUAGCGGUGAAAUGCUUAGAUAUCACGAAGAACUCCGAUUG